GUUUAAUUUUGUGGCCUUGUUUCCAUUAUCAUCUCAUCUAGAAAAAGACUUGGCUGCUUUACUUCUUGGGAUGGCAGAAUUUCUGUGAAUUAUCUAAAGAACUACACUGUGUCUGAGUCCUAGGAUAAUGGAGGCAUCUAUGGAGAGUCCUACUUGCACAGGGAUAUGAAACUUGACUGCUGGAGGUACUCUGAAAAGUGGGAUCAAGCUUUCAGAUGAAGUGGUGUUGAGGAAGGAAGUCAACAUUGCCACCAACCUGUAAACUUCAGAGAGCUGCAAUUCCUAAACUUCUUCAUGGGACCCAGGAUUGAUGUUGUGGCAUUUAAAUGGUAGUGACAUCAACCUAGCCCAAUGCAGUUAAAGGAACUGACCAAUCUGUCCUUUCAGAAUACUGAUUAAAAAAAUACAAUUCUUUCCCUUCUCUUUGAAACCUAUGGCCAAAGCAGUUGACAUGAAGAGGCCCACA
This 466-nucleotide long non-coding RNA is filed under the name Ictidomys tridecemlineatus (thirteen-lined ground squirrel). RNAcentral's name for it is "lncRNA (ENSSTOG00000030313.1)". Lineage: Eukaryota; Metazoa; Chordata; Mammalia; Rodentia; Sciuridae. The record is from RNAcentral.